GCUGUGCUGGUUAGAUUAGUAGGUUCUGGGGUUUGAUAAUAGGUGGAUGGAGCUGUGCUGGUUAGAUUAGUAGGUUCUGGGGUUUGAUAAUAGGUGGAUGGAGCUGUGCUGGUUAGAUUAGUAGGUUCUGGGGUUUGAUAAUAGGUGGAUGGAGCUGUGCUGGUUAGAUUAGUAGGUUCUGGGGUUUGAUAACUGAUGGAUGAUGCUAUGCUUGUAAGAUUAGUAGGUUCUGGGGUUUGAUAACAGAUGGAUGGAGCUGUGCUGGUUAGAUUAGUAGGUUCUGGGGUUUGAUAAUAGAUGGAUGGUGCUGUGCUGGUUAGAUCAGUAGGUUGUGGGGUUUGAUAACAGACGGAUGGAGCUGUACUAGUUAGCUUAGUAGGUUCUGGGGUUUGAUAACAGAUGGAUGGAGUUGUCCUGGUUACAUUAGUAGGUUCUUGGGUUUGAGAACAGAUGGGUGGUGCUGU
Long non-coding RNA from Astyanax mexicanus (Mexican tetra), 464 nucleotides. RefSeq lists it as uncharacterized. The transcript has 6 exons. The record is from RefSeq and is a predicted model, not a curated record. Lineage: Eukaryota; Metazoa; Chordata; Actinopteri; Characiformes; Acestrorhamphidae.